CCGGUCAAGAUCCAACCGUAAUCAAGGCAAUUGCAGGAAUCAAUAAACACUAGGACAACACGGUAUCCUUCUGCAGCGCGAUCCAACGGAUGAAAUCUUUCAGCGCCUUGAUCGGAUGGUCCGCGACGCAUCCGACCUGAUCCCAUCUCUGCAGCAUGAUCCAACGGCAGCGCUUCACCCAGAUCGUGAUCCGACGGCCCAGAAUCACUUCCGGCUUGAUUUAUUAGAUGAAUUGGGUCCUUUAGAUGAAGAUCGGACGGCUGAAAUAAUUUUUAAGGUUUCUUGAUGGAUUUAAGUACUUUUUGAGCG
RNAcentral lists this long non-coding RNA (309 nucleotides) under Elaeis guineensis (African oil palm). RNAcentral's name for it is "long non-coding RNA (EGUI_LNC036110)". The record is from RNAcentral. Lineage: Eukaryota; Viridiplantae; Streptophyta; Magnoliopsida; Arecales; Arecaceae.